This 1412-nucleotide ribosomal RNA is filed under the name Escherichia coli O26:H11. RNAcentral describes it as "bacterial LSU rRNA". It matches the Rfam family "Bacterial large subunit ribosomal RNA", at positions 1477 to 2864 of the family's 2925-position model. Lineage: Bacteria; Pseudomonadati; Pseudomonadota; Gammaproteobacteria; Enterobacterales; Enterobacteriaceae. The record is from RNAcentral.
GAAGGCUAUGUUGGCCGGGCGACGGUUGUCCCGGUUUAAGCGUGUAGGCUGGUUUUCCAGGCAAAUCCGGAAAACUAAGGCUGAGGCGUGAUGACGAGGCACUACGGUGCUGAAGCAACAAAUGCCCUGCUUCCAGGAAAAGCCUCUAAGCAUCAGGUAACAUCAAAUCGUACCCCAAACCGACACAGGUGGUCAGGUAGAGAAUACCAAGGCGCUUGAGAGAACUCGGGUGAAGGAACUAGGCAAAAUGGUGCCGUAACUUCGGGAGAAGGCACGCUGAUAUGUAGGUGAAGUCCCUCGCGGAUGGAGCUGAAAUCAGUCGAAGAUACCAGCUGGCUGCAACUGUUUAUUAAAAACACAGCACUGUGCAAACACGAAAGUGGACGUAUACGGUGUGACGCCUGCCCGGUGCCGGAAGGUUAAUUGAUGGGGUUAGCGCAAGCGAAGCUCUUGAUCGAAGCCCCGGUAAACGGCGGCCGUAACUAUAACGGUCCUAAGGUAGCGAAAUUCCUUGUCGGGUAAGUUCCGACCUGCACGAAUGGCGUAAUGAUGGCCAGGCUGUCUCCACCCGAGACUCAGUGAAAUUGAACUCGCUGUGAAGAUGCAGUGUACCCGCGGCAAGACGGAAAGACCCCGUGAACCUUUACUAUAGCUUGACACUGAACAUUGAGCCUUGAUGUGUAGGAUAGGUGGGAGGCUUUGAAGUGUGGACGCCAGUCUGCAUGGAGCCGACCUUGAAAUACCACCCUUUAAUGUUUGAUGUUCUAACGUUGACCCGUAAUCCGGGUUGCGGACAGUGUCUGGUGGGUAGUUUGACUGGGGCGGUCUCCUCCUAAAGAGUAACGGAGGAGCACGAAGGUUGGCUAAUCCUGGUCGGACAUCAGGAGGUUAGUGCAAUGGCAUAAGCCAGCUUGACUGCGAGCGUGACGGCGCGAGCAGGUGCGAAAGCAGGUCAUAGUGAUCCGGUGGUUCUGAAUGGAAGGGCCAUCGCUCAACGGAUAAAAGGUACUCCGGGGAUAACAGGCUGAUACCGCCCAAGAGUUCAUAUCGACGGCGGUGUUUGGCACCUCGAUGUCGGCUCAUCACAUCCUGGGGCUGAAGUAGGUCCCAAGGGUAUGGCUGUUCGCCAUUUAAAGUGGUACGCGAGCUGGGUUUAGAACGUCGUGAGACAGUUCGGUCCCUAUCUGCCGUGGGCGCUGGAGAACUGAGGGGGGCUGCUCCUAGUACGAGAGGACCGGAGUGGACGCAUCACUGGUGUUCGGGUUGUCAUGCCAAUGGCACUGCCCGGUAGCUAAAUGCGGAAGAGAUAAGUGCUGAAAGCAUCUAAGCACGAAACUUGCCCCGAGAUGAGUUCUCCCUGACUCCUUGAGAGUCCUGAAGGAACGUUGAAGACGACGACGUUGAUAGGCCGG